AACGAACGCUGGCGGCAUGCCUAACACAUGCAAGUCGAACGAGACCUUCGGGUCUAGUUGCGCACGUGUGCGUAACGCGUGGGAACCUGCCCUUAGGUUCGGAAUAACUCCCCGAAAGGUGUGCUAAUACCGGUUAAUGUCUUCGGACCAAAGAUUUAUCGCCUUUGGAUGGGCCCGCGUUGGAUUAGCUAGUUGGUAGGGUAAAAGCCUACCAAGGCGACGAUCCAUAGCUGGUCUGAGAGGAUGAUCAGCCACACUGGGACUGAGACACGGCCCAGACUCCUACGGGAGGGAGCAGAGGGGAAUAUUGGACAAUGGGCGAAAGCCUGAUCCAGCAAUGCCGCGUGAGUGAUGAAGGCCUUAGGGUUGUAAAGCUCUUUUACCCGGGAUGAUAAUGACAGUACCGGGAGAAUAAGCUCCGGCUAACUACGUG
Molecule: ribosomal RNA, 433 nt
Filed under: uncultured bacterium
Lineage: Bacteria
Description: partial 16S ribosomal RNA
Rfam family: Bacterial small subunit ribosomal RNA
Source: RNAcentral